UACGGAGGGUGCGAGCGUUGUUCGGAAUCACUGGGCGUAAAGGGCGUGUAGGCGGUCCGCUAAGUCUGAUGUGAAAGCCCGGGGCUCACCCCCGGAAGGGCAUUGGAAACUGACGGACUCGAGUCCCGAAGAGGAGGGUGGAAUUCCUGGUGUAGCGGUGAAAUGCGUAGAUAUCAGGAAGAACACCUAUGGCGAAGGCAGCUCUCUGGGACGGUACUGACGCUGAGACGCGAAAGCGUGGGGAGCGAACAGG
This 253-nucleotide ribosomal RNA is filed under the name uncultured bacterium. RNAcentral describes it as "partial 16S ribosomal RNA". It matches the Rfam family "Bacterial small subunit ribosomal RNA", at positions 524 to 776 of the family's 1533-position model. The record is from RNAcentral.